RNAcentral lists this transfer-messenger RNA (351 nucleotides) under Oscillospiraceae. Its description in RNAcentral is "Avoscillospira stercorigallinarum Standard tmRNA". It matches the Rfam family "transfer-messenger RNA". Rfam says of the family: Bacterial tmRNA, also known as 10Sa RNA or SsrA, is named for its dual tRNA and mRNA-like properties. Lineage: Bacteria; Bacillati; Bacillota; Clostridia; Eubacteriales. The record is from RNAcentral. RNAcentral also lists the same sequence under 1 other name.
GGGGCUGCAAUGGCUUCGACGGGGGCAGUGAGGCUGGAUAAGCGGGCAGAGGCGCCUGACCUCUAUAAAAUGGGCAACUUUUUAAAUUAACUGACAACGAUAACUUCGUUCUGGCUGCUGCUUAAUUAGCGGCCCAUCCUCCCCGGAAGGACCACGAGCCGGGCUAGGGUGUGAUUUGAGUGGUGACCGUGCGUGCGCAAAGCUUUGAGCGCACCAUGAAUCAUGAAGCUACCAAGCCGCGUAGUGUGACGGUUCACGCCGCGGCGAGGGAAUGUAAAUAACCGUCUGCGCCCGGAGAAAGUCCUGUCAAGUUGUUUUCGGACGGGGGUUCGAUUCCCCCCAGCUCCACCA